CUUGUUUUCAUAUUUAUUUAUCUUUCAUGGUGUCUUACACUCAAGUCGGUUAAUUAAAUGUGUACAGGAGUUAAGGAUAACUCAUACUUCAAUUGCUGAUUGGUUUAGCCAACGUAGGGUUGACCACUACUUAAACUGCUUAGGCUUUUUUCGGAUAAAUUCUUCACCAUCUAUCGUCCGGCCGUAAGGACUUAUAUGUGAGGAUUUGUGGGGAACAAGUCACAUUAUCGCUUUCUUCGUUAGUUAAUGUUAUGUGCGUAGCUGUGAAUUGAGGCUUUUGAUCGCCUCUUUUGUGCAUUAAUCUAUUUUCCAAUUACUAAAUCUUGCCAUUAUAUAAAAGAAAAUCAAAACCAUUCAAGCAUGUGCCCACGCAUUUCUAUCGUUAUCUUAACGAACUAGUAAACGUUUUUCUGUUCAAAAUCAGCUGUUAAUAUUGGUAUGGGUUAUUAAUGACAAAAAGAUCUCACUUCUUCAUAAGAGAUUUCCUAAUGUUAACUAUAAAAAGUAAUAAAUUCAUCUCAGUGAUUGUAAUGCCCUAAUUUUAUUAGUUAUAAAUAAUUCAAGGUAUUAGAAGCUUAAUCACGGAUUAAAGAGAAAGAAGUAAUUCACCGAUUAGUUAGAGAGAGAGUUUGAGAUUAGGUUGGGUUGGGUCAGUCCGAAAUCUGAAAACGAAACCCGACGAUCAUUUCCAAUUCUGACUACAUCACCGGCAGGAACCUCAAGAGCGGCCAUCUAAAUCACUGGGAAAUGCCCAAAAAGUCACCGAUCGAGCACGUGAAAGCCACAAUCUCACCACCUUAAAUCGGUGCGUUUUCGCCGAUUUUCAGUCACGCCGUCGCUUGGGUUUUGUCCUCACAACACCUCUUCAAAACCCGACCGGUAACCGUUACCAAAAGCAGCCAAAUCACUGUCGAUUUUGCUUAACACAUCUGCGUCAGAGCACAACACCGCCAUUGUUGGAUUCAAAUCACGCUUAACACACCGCCCAUUGGAGCACAACACCGCCAUCGUUGGAUUCAUCCCGACCACCGUUGGUUGGUUUCUAGUUAUCAUUGACCGGUGAGGAUAUUUUGGUGCCGUUAGACUUCAAGGGUAAUUAUGUAAUUUAUGACUUUGAGGAUAUUUUAGUAAUAUAUGAAUUCAAGAGUACCUUGGUAAUUUAUGAUUAGGGCUUGAUAAUAUUUAUUAAUAACUUUUAGGUGGAUGAUAUCGAUACGCUUUUGUUACACUUUUGUUACACGUGGAUGUCAAGAAUUAGACUUCUAAAUGAAUAAAAAAAAAUGUAUAUAUUUGACAUGUUUGACAUGUAUUUUUUUGAUAUGUGCAUAUAUGCAUUUUAUAUGAUCUUGAUUAGGGGUGGGUAUCGGUUCAGUUUCAGAAUAAAUUUUUGAUUUCGAAUCGGUUUGGAUUUAAAAUUUAAAAAAGCCGAAUCAAAAUUGAUAGGUCAGUUUCGGUUCGGUUUCGAUUCGAUUUCGGUUCUUUUAACGGUUUUAUUUAAGCAAUUGGUUUUUCGAUUCAUCUUAACGAUUCAAUUUUUGGUUCGAUUUUUCAAAUCAUUUUCUAUUUCAACACCCUCCUCAAAAUCAUCCUUCAUAAUCUCCUCUACAACAUUGCUAUUUUCUUCCAUCCUGCACACAAAGCCUACUAUAAUUAAUGUAUAAUCAAACAAAAAAAAUAAUUUACAAAUUUGUAUUAAAAAAAAAAAAACAAGAAUUUUGGACUAAAACGAAGAAUUUUCAAAAUUAUAGUUGAAUUUUUAAUAUCAAAAGUGUUGACCCAAAAUGUAAAUAAAAUAAAAUAAGUAUUUGUGCCAUAGUAGAAACUAACAAAAUAUUAAGGACUCAUAUGAUAUUUUAUCUAGUUGACCUUCGGUCAAGGACUAUUAUGCAAAGUUAGCAACACAAACUAAAUCAUAAUAGAAUUCUUAUAUGAAAACAUUUUCUAAAUAUUAGGUCAUACUAAAAUAUUAUUAAAAAACAAGCGACCUAAAUGAUAUUUGCCCUCCAUCAUCUUCGGGGCUCCAUCAGACUUCACCCAGCAAUGUCCAGAGCAUAAUUUCCAAACAAAAAAAAUUGAAAAAUACAGUAACAUGCUCAUAACUAGGCAAAGCUAAUAAAACUAAAUGCUAUUAAUAACUUAAACAAACAUGAAAUAAGUGCAAAUUAAAGAGUUAUUUAAAAAAAAAAAGAAGAAAAACAGAGCAAGUUACUCACAAACGAAAACAUACACAUUACCUGGCUAUCUAGCUAGCAACGGAGUAAGGAAAGAAACGAAGCAGUAGGUCGGCAGCAAGGAGAAGGCAGAUGCGAGUUAGGGCUUGGGUAAGUGGCUGUGCUGCAGCUAAAGCGUGAGAGAGAGUGGAGCAAACUGCACAUGUGUUAAUUUGUGUAUAUAUAUGUCCUAGUAAAAUUACAAAAAUGCCCUAAUUUCGGUUAGGUUCGGAUUUUUUAAUUUUUUAUCCGAAAACAGAACCAAACCAACCAUUCGGUUCGGUAUUUAUAAAUUCAAAUUUUUUACUUUAAAAAUACAGAACCGAAACCGAAAAAAAUCGAACCGAACCGAAUUUUUUUCGGUUCCGGUUCGAUUUUGGCCACCCCUAAUCUUGACCUUGUGUUUAUGUGAUGUGUAGUUAUUUGUUAACUGUAAUCAUAGACAAAGCAUAAAUAUGUGUGAAAGUUUGUUGGCAUAAACAUGAACAUGCGAAGCUUUAAUAAAAAGCAUGUUUAUUAAUUGCAUUUGUAAUUUUAUGAUUUAUAUGUGAACUUUGUUAUCAUACUAAUUUUUACGAGAUUUUGCAUUGCAUUAGGGGCCGCCUCUUGAAGUUAUGUGGGGGACACUUCUUGAGACAAUGUGGGGUCAACUUUCAAAAGUCAAUGUACCGCAAAGUGCCACACAUAGUACAAAGUGACAUAUGCGUGACAUGUAUUUUAUUGAAAAAAAAUGUGAAAGUUUAAAAGUGACAUAAAGGGAUUUUGAUGAAUUUAUUUUACAUUGUUUUCAAAAGAUCACGACAUAUCAUCUGCGAAGUGCCACACAUUGUUUUAAAAACUACUUUGUUUACUAAGUUUUGUACUCAUUAUGAUUUAUUGUGAUUCAGUUUUCAGAGGUCAGGAUUGAUUUCUAAUGAGUGAGAAGAAGGAUUUAAAUUGAGAAUGAUAAAUAAUUUGACAAAAUUCUUUAAUAUUCAUCUGUUGUGUAAUAGUUGUAUCUGAGAAUUGAAUUUUGAUCGAUUGUAAACGGUCAUUUAAGGUUUAUAUGUGGGUUGUGGUUAGAUUUGCUCACAGGAUUCGGACUCGGUGUUACAGUAAUACUAAAUGGGUCAUUACUGGCAAAGAAAAAUGUCAUUGGAACACCACAUUUGGUAUUGUGAAAAAAACAAGAACACUGUACACGAAUAAUGUGUUCUUUAACUUGUUUUGUAUACUAUACAGUUACCGUGCAGUAAACAGUAACACUUUUGAUGUCGCUUUGGUUCAUAAAUAUUAGUCUGGGUUAUUAAUGGCAAAUAGAUCGCACUUCUUUGGAAGAGAUUCCUAAAAGUCAGUGUAAAAAGGAAGAAACUGCUGUUCAAGCACGUUUACUUAAGCAACGUUUAAGCUUUUCUGACCCCAAGUAAUUUAAUUUACAAUUAUUGCGAUAUUUUAUGCAUGGAAUCUGAUUUUGGUGCUCGCGUAUGUUACAGUGCGCAAUGGAGCCCUCAACGAACUUUCACCAGGGACAAACUUGUCACGCAUGCCGUUGCACACCGAAAGCUCUUUUAUGCAUCCCCCCAACCGUCAGAAAAUGCCCAUAUAAUAAUAUCAUAUAAUCGACAAUAACUUCCUCGUCCU
Molecule: long non-coding RNA, 3830 nt
Filed under: Citrus maxima (pomelo)
Lineage: Eukaryota; Viridiplantae; Streptophyta; Magnoliopsida; Sapindales; Rutaceae
Description: long non-coding RNA (CMAX_LNC002871)
Source: RNAcentral